Molecule: ribosomal RNA, 439 nt
Filed under: Arthrobacter sp. IGS129
Lineage: Bacteria; Bacillati; Actinomycetota; Actinomycetes; Micrococcales; Micrococcaceae
Description: bacterial SSU rRNA
Rfam family: Bacterial small subunit ribosomal RNA
Source: RNAcentral
GGCUCAGGAUGAACGCUGGCGGCGUGCUUAACACAUGCAAGUCGAACGAUGAUCCCAGCUUGCUGGGGGAUUAGUGGCGAACGGGUGAGUAACACGUGAGUAACCUGCCCUUGACUCUGGGAUAAGCCUGGGAAACUGGGUCUAAUACCGGAUAUGACCGCUCUGACGCAUGUCAGGUGGUGGAAAGCUUUUGUGGUUUUGGAUGGACUCGCGGCCUAUCAGCUUGUUGGUGGGGUAAUGGCCUACCAAGGCGACGACGGGUAGCCGGCCUGAGAGGGUGACCGGCCACACUGGGACUGAGACACGGCCCAGACUCCUACGGGAGGCAGCAGUGGGGAAUAUUGCACAAUGGGCGCAAGCCUGAUGCAGCGACGCCGCGUGAGGGAUGACGGCCUUCGGGUUGUAAACCUCUUUCAGUAGGGAAGAAGCGAAAGUGACG